CGAAAGCUACGCUAAUACCGCAUACGAUCUAUGGAUGAAAGCCGGGGGGAUCGCAAGACCUCGCGCGAUUGGAGCGGCCGAUAUCAGAUUAGGUAGUUGGUGAGGUAAAGGCUCACCAAGCCGACGAUCUGUAGCUGGUCUGAGAGGACGACCAGCCACACUGGGACUGAGACACGGCCCAGACUCCUACGGGAGGCAGCAGUGGGGAAUUUUGGACAAUGGGCGCAAGCCUGAUCCAGCAAUGCCGCGUGCAGGAUGAAGGCCUUCGGGUUGUAAACUGCUUUGUACGGAACGAAACGGUGAGCUCUAAUACAGUUUGCUAAUGACGGUACCGUAAGAAUAAGCACCGGCUAACUACGUG
Molecule: ribosomal RNA, 361 nt
Filed under: uncultured bacterium
Lineage: Bacteria
Description: bacterial SSU rRNA
Rfam family: Bacterial small subunit ribosomal RNA
Source: RNAcentral